Molecule: ribosomal RNA, 415 nt
Filed under: uncultured prokaryote
Description: bacterial SSU rRNA
Rfam family: Bacterial small subunit ribosomal RNA
Source: RNAcentral
GUGCCAGCAGCCGCGGUAAUACGUAGGUGGCCAGCGUUGCCCGGAUUUACUGGGCGUAAAGAGCGCGUAGGUGGUGCCCUAAGUUGGGCGUGAAAGCCCCCGGCUUAACUGGGGAGGGUCGUCCAAUACUGGGGUGCUUGAGGGCAGGGGAAGGAAGCGGAAUUCCCGGUGUAGUGGUGAAAUGCGUAGAUAUCGGGAAGAACACCAGUGGCGAAGGCGGCUUCCUAAACUGUUCCUGACGCUGAGGCGCGAAAGCUAGGGGAGCGAACCGAAUUAGAUACUCGGGUAGUCCUAGCUGUAAACUUUGGGCACUAGGUGUAGCGGGUAUCGACCCCUGCUGUGCCGCAGCUAACGCAAUAAGUGCCCCGCCUGGGGACUACGAGCGCAAGCUUAAAACUUAAAUGAAUUGACGGGG